UGGGGAAUUUUGGACAAUGGGCGAAAGCCUGAUCCAGCAAUGCCGCGUGUGUGAAGAAGGCCUUCGGGUUGUAAAGCACUUUUGUCCGGAAAGAAAUCCUUGGCUCUAAUACAGUCGGGGGAUGACGGUACCGGAAGAAUAAGCACCGGCUAACUACGUGCCAGCAGCCGCGGUAAUACGUAGGGUGCAAGCGUUAAUCGGAAUUACUGGGCGUAAAGCGUGCGCAGGCGGUUUGCUAAGACCGAUGUGAAAUCCCCGGGCUCAACCUGGGGAACUGCAUUGGUGACUGGCAGGCUAGAGUAUGGCAGAGGGGGGUAGAAUUCCACGUGUAGCAGUGAAAUGCGUAGAGAUGUGGAGGAAUACCGAUGGCGAAGGCAGCCCCCUGGGCCAAUACUGACGCUCAUGCACGAAAGCGUGGGGAGCAAACAGGAUUAGAUACCCUGGUAGUCCACGCCCUAAACGAUGUCAACUAGUUGUUGGGGAUUCAUUUCCUUAGUAACGUAGCUAACGCGUGAAGUUGACCGCCUGGGGAGUACGGUCGCAAGAUUAAACUC
Molecule: ribosomal RNA, 554 nt
Filed under: uncultured bacterium
Lineage: Bacteria
Description: partial 16S ribosomal RNA
Rfam family: Bacterial small subunit ribosomal RNA
Source: RNAcentral